This 511-nucleotide ribosomal RNA is filed under the name uncultured bacterium. RNAcentral's name for it is "bacterial SSU rRNA". It matches the Rfam family "Bacterial small subunit ribosomal RNA", at positions 8 to 518 of the family's 1533-position model. The record is from RNAcentral.
AGAGUUUGAUCCUGGCUCAGGAUGAACGCUGGCGGCGUGCUUAACACAUGCAAGUCGAACGAGGCUCAUCUGUGGAAGUUUUCGGAUGGAAACGGAUGUGACCGAGUGGCGGACGGGUGAGUAACGCGUGGGGAACCUGCCCCAUUCCGGGGGAUACCAGUUGGAAACGACUGUUAAUACCGCAUAAGCGCACGGGAAGGCAUCUUCCAGUGUGAAAAACUGAGGUGGAAUGGGAUGGCCCCGCGUCUGAUUAGCCAGUUGGCAGGGUAACGGCCUACCAAAGCGACGAUCAGUAGCCGGCCUGAGAGGGCGACCGGCCACAUUGGGACUGAGACACGGCCCAAACUCCUACGGGAGGCAGCAGUGGGGAAUAUUGCACAAUGGGGGGAACCCUGAUGCAGCGACGCCCGCGUGAGUGAGGAAGUAUUUCGGUAUGUAAAGCUCUAUCAGCAGGGAAGAAGAUGACGGUACCUGCACAAGAAGCCCCGGCUAACUACGUGCCAGCAGCUGC